GCCUUGGUGGUGAAAUGGUAGACAUGCGAGACUCAAAAUCUUAUGCUAAAAAGUGUGGAGGUUCAAGUCCUUAUCAAGAUA
This 81-nucleotide transfer RNA is filed under the name Capsicum annuum. It matches the Rfam family "tRNA". From Rfam's summary of the family: Transfer RNA (tRNA) molecules are approximately 80 nucleotides in length. Their secondary structure includes four short double-helical elements and three loops (D, anti-codon, and T loops). Further hydrogen bonds mediate the characteristic L-shaped molecular structure. tRNAs have two regions of fundamental functional importance: the anti-codon, which is responsible for specific mRNA codon recognition, and the 3' end, to which the tRNAs corresponding amino acid is attached (by aminoacyl-tRNA synthetases). tRNAs cope with the degeneracy of the genetic code in two manners: having more than one tRNA (with a specific anti-codon) for a particular amino acid; and 'wobble' base-pairing, i.e. permitting non-standard base-pairing at the 3rd anti-codon position. Lineage: Eukaryota; Viridiplantae; Streptophyta; Magnoliopsida; Solanales; Solanaceae. The record is from Rfam by way of RNAcentral.